AGAGUUUUCUUAUUUCUGUUCCGUGAAUAUUACAACUGUAUAGAAGCUUCCUGAACCUCUCAUAUACAUCAGUGUAUAUACAGAAAAAUAUCUACUCUAUAUUGGGCCAUUGGGCCAAGAAUAAAUAAUGGACUAAUUACAAGUUGGGCUUGGGCAGAUGUUCCGUGAAUAUUACCACUGUAUAGAAGCUUCCUGAACCUCUCAUAUACAUCGGACUAUAUACAAAAAAAUAUCUACUCUAUAUUGGGCCAUUGGGCCAAGAAUAAAUAAUGGACUAAUUACAAGUUGGGCUUGGGUAGCUGCUUCUAUGUUUGGGCUGCUUGAGUGGCCCAGUAACUCCAACAGAUUUAAAAUUAUCAGGUACAACAUGUUUCUCUCUUUUGUAAGAAUAAUGAUAUGUUUUGUUGGAUACUUAGUUUUUCUCAAUUAUGUUUAAAAACAAAGGAUUCUUGGCAAUGUGGAGGGCUGCCUGAUUAUCACAAUAAACUGGAACAUGAUAGGGAACAACAACCCCAAAAUCAGACAGUAAUCGAAUGAGCCAGGUGAGCUCACCAAGAACCUUGCUGAUGGCUCUAUACUGAGCCUCAGCAGAAGACAGAGAUACCACAGACUGCUUCUUAGCCUUCCAACCAAUAAGGGAGUCACCUAACAUAACACAAAAACCAGAGACAUGCCUUCUAGUAUCUGGACAGGAUGCCCAGUCACUAUCACAGUAAGCAGAUAAACAGAUAUCAGGAGAGUUGCUGAGAAAAAUGCCAAGAUCAGAAGUGCCUCUGAGAUAUCUGAGGGUGUGCAGAGCAGCAUGUAUAUGUGAGUAGUAGGCUUCUGGAGAUAUUGGCUUAAAUGCUGGACAGCAAAGGCUAAGUCAGGUCUAGUAUGAGUGAGAAAAUUGAGUUUCCCUACUAAGCACCUAUAGGAUUCAGGAGAUGGAAGACGAUCCCCUAAAUCUAGUUUAGAAAAUUGAGUUUCCCUACUAAGCACCUAUAGGAUUCAGGAGAGGGAAGACGAUCCCCUAAAUCUAGUUUGAGUUUGACAGAGAGGUCAAGGGGACAAGUCACAGGAGUAACAGCCUCACAGUAAUAAGCUUUGAGCAGAUCAGUGACAAGUUUUUGCUGGUGGAGCAGGAGCCCAGCAGAGUGAUAACUGACCUCAAUACCAAGAAAGUAAUUAAGCACACCCAAGUCCUUGAUCUUGAACUCUUGAUCAAGAAAACUCUUCAAAGCACUAAUUUCCCCCAAAUCAUUACCAGUGAGGAAAAUGUCAUCAACAUAGACAGCCAACAUGACAAUAGAAGAACCAGAUUUCUUAAGGUAAAGAGAAUAGUCAUUGAGGGAAGAAGAAAAACCUUUAGAACAUAAGGCCUGGGAGAGCUUGGCAUACCAUUGCCUAGAAGCUUGCCUUAACCCAUACAACAAUAUGAAAUUCCAAAUUUUAAUGUGGCUCAAAAUUUGAUUGAUGUUAAUUUAAUAUUACCCGACGACACUUGAUACUGCAGAUUCUCUUUUGAACACAGAAUCACAUACUAAGAGUAUUUUGAUUUCCAUAUGUGUCUCAAAGUCAGAGAAGAGGUAGAAAACAUGUGCUGAUUAAAUGGAAUUUGAGUCCAUUAUUUCGUAUCGUUACUUAUUAACCACAGCAAUGAGGGAUUUGAUGGUUGAAAACUUUACAACAGGAGAAAAGAUCUCAGUGAAGUCUACACCUUCAAUUUGGGUAUCACCCCUAACAACCAGUCUAGCCUUAUGUCUUUCCACAGACCCAUCAGCCCUAAAUUUGAUCUUAUACACCCACUUGCAACCAAUAGGUCUUUUACCAGGGGGAAGGGGAACUAUUGACCAGGUAUGAUUGGCCUCCAAGGCUGCAAAUUCCUUGCACAUAGCCUCCUGCCAGGCAGGAAUAGAGGCAGCUUGCUGAUAGGUGGUAGGUUCUGCUUCUGGACUGCUAACCAAGGUGUGAAGACAGGUGGAAGAAGCACUGGGACCAGAAAGAGAAGGAGGGAGAGUGCAGACAUACUGCUGCAGGUGGGCAGGAAGGACAUGUGCCCUAUUGGAUCUUCUGGGAUCAGAUGAAGAAGGCACUGAAGAAGUAUGUGAUGGAGAGGAAUGUGAGGAAGAGGGAGAGGCAGGUGGGCAGGAAGGACAUGUGCCCUAGUGGAUCUUCUGGGUGCAGAUGAAGAAGGCACUGAAGAAGUAGGUGAUGGAGAGGAAGGUGGGGAAGAGGAGGAGGCAAGAGGUUGAUGAGUGGAAGAAGAGGAAUGAUUAGGAAGAGAUUCAUCAACAGGAGGAACCCAGGCAGAAGGAGGAUUGACAGGAGGAAAAGAGGCAUGGGGAGAAGUCCCUAGGGAGGCAAAAUGGAAUAUAUCCUCAUGAAAAAUGACAUCCCUGGAUAUCAGGGUGAUCUUAGACUUCAAGUUAUACAGCUUGUAACCCCUUUUAGCCAAAGGGUAACCCAGGAAAACACAGGGAUCAACUCUAGGCUGGAAUUUAUCUCUAUUCUGUUUAGGGACAGAGGCAAAACAUGAGCAACCAAAUGUUUUAAGGUGUUUGUAGGAAGGAAUCUGGCCAAACAGCAAUUCAAAAGGGGAUUUGUUGUUGAGUAGAACAUAAGCAACCAAAUGUUUUAAGGUGUUUGUAGGAGGAAUCUGGCCAAACAGCAAUUCAAAAGGGGAUUUGUGUUGAGUAAUUUGGAAGGAAAUCUGUUAAUCAGGUAUGUGGCAGUAAGCACACAGUCACCCCAAAAUCUAAUGGGUAACUGAGAAUGAAAGAGCAGAGCUCUGGAGGUUUUUAGCAGAUAUCUAUGCUUUCUCUCAACAACACCAUUUUGUUGUGGUGUGUGAGAGCAAGAAGUUUGAUGCUGUAUGCCAUGUUCAGCAAAGAAGGUGAUGCCACAGCCACUAGAACCUAGUUCAAAUGCAUUAUCACUCCUAAUGGUUUGUACCACAGAUUGGAAUUGAGUUUUAACCAUGGCAAUGAAGGCUUUAAUGAGAGGAAAGGCAUUGCUCUUGGACCCCAUAAGAUGGGUCCAAGUAACUCUGGUAAAAUCAUCAACUAUUGUCAAAAAAUAUCUACAACCAUUAUGAGUAGAAGUGGCAUAGGGACCCCAUGUAUCAACAUGAAUCAGUUGAAAAGCAUGAGUUGUUUUAAUGGAGCUGUCAGGAAAGGGUAAUCUAGAUUGCCAUGCCAAAAGGCAUAUAGUACAGCGAAAAGGCUGCUUUGUGGAAAAACUACAUGGUAUAAAAGGCAUGUCUUUCAUUCUAAGAAAAGGUAUAUGCCCUAGUCUAUUGUGCCAUAACAUCUCUCAAGUAGCUCUGAUAAAAUCAUCAACUAUUGUCAAAAAAUAUCUACAACCAUUAUGAGUAGAAGUGGUAUAGGGACCCCAUGUAUCAACAUGAAUCAGUUGAAAAGCAUGAGUUGUUUUAAUGGAGCUGUCAGGAAAGGGUAAUCUAGAUUGCCAUGCCAAAAGGCAUAUAGUACAGCGAAAAGGCUGCUUUGUGGAAAAACUACAUGGUAUAAAAGGCAUGUCUUUGGUCUAGAUUGCCUGGCCAAAGGGCAUAUAGUACAGAGAAAAGGCUGCUUUGUGGAAAAAUUACAUGGUAUAGAAGGCAUGCCUUUCAUUCUAACAAAAGGUCUAUGCCCUAGUCUAUUAUGCCAUAACAUCUCCAUUUUAUUCAAUUCAGAAUGGUAUAUACAGUGAGAAGAAGAAACAGAACUAACAGGUAAAGGAGCAUGUUGAUUACAAGGAUCAAGAGUUUUAAGGGAAAAAGAUUGCACAAGUCUGUAGAGACCAUCAUCCAAUUUACCAAUCUCCAGUGGCCUCUUCAGAGAAGGGGCCUGUAUUAAACAAGAGAAUUUAGUAAAUAGAAUAAUAGAAUUCAACUGACAUACAAGUUUGGACACAAAAAUGAGAUUGUAGUGAAAACUGGAAAUGUAAAGGACAUAAUGAAGAGUGAAACAAAGGAAUUGGAUGGAACCAGUGCAUGUUACCUUAACCUUAUAGCCAUUGGGCAAGGUAACUAGAUAUGGUAUUACUAAAGGCUUAAUGUCAAACAGAAGUUCUUUAUUUGAUGUCAUGUGGUCGGUGGCACCAGAGUCUAUAAUCCAGAUGCAAUCACUUACUUUGGUUAGCAUGCAAGCCCCAUAGGAUACAUUCUUUAAAUGAGUAGUUGGAGAAAAAUUACCUGCAAAGUUAGCUGAGGCCAUAAGGCUGGACUGCUGCUUAGAUUCUGCAAUCUGUGUCUGUUGGAGCAGCAACAUAAGCUGGGAAUAUUGGUAUUUGGUUAAACCAGGUCUGAGAGACUCUGAAUCAGAAACCCCUUGGGAAUUGUCAGCAGUAUUCUGAGUUCCAGCAGGGUUUGUAUACCCAUGUACUUCAACAUGUGCUGCACUCCUCCUUCCUUUGGUCAAUUUGAAGUCUGAUGGAAAUCCUCUUGUGAAUUUGAAGUCAGGUGGAAAUCCAUGAAGUUUAUAGCAUUUUUCAAUCAGGUGUCCAGGUUUCUUACAAUACCUACACACUAAGUUUGCUCUGUUAGAAUCAGAAUUGAGUCUUGGGCUGAAUUGUUUAGGGUAACCAGCAGCUGUGGGAGGAAAUCUUGGAAUAGAUGGUUUGUUGCUGAAAUGAGUAUUGAAGGCACUCGAAUCAUGAUGAAAUUGAGAAGGCGAAGAGACUUGUCUUUGUCUCUCAUCUUGGAGUAAAAUAUUGUAUGCACAAUCUAGAGUUGGUGGAGGUUGUAGCAUAAGGAUAUUGCUUCUGAAUCCUACAUAGACAUCAUUGAGCCCCAUAAGAAACUGAUGUAAUUUGUUUUCAUCAUCCUCCCUUUGAAGCUCGGAUCUGGCAUUGCAUGUGCAAGUGUUCCCACGAGAAGCACGCAUGAAGCUCAGUUCAUCCUAUAGUUUCUUUAGCUUGUUGAAAUAAGAAGCUAUAUCCAGAGACCCCUGAUUAGUUGAUGCCAACUCCUGCUUAAUCUCAAAUAUCCUGGUGCCAUUCACAGUCCCAUAUCUACUAUUAAGUUGAUUCCAGAUGCUUUGAGCAGUGUCGGAAUACUGAACACUCUCGGCUAUCUCUGGAGCAAGGGAAUUAGUAAGCCAAGAGAUAACCACAUUGUAAUGUCGGAGUAUUGAACACUCUCGGCUAUCUCCGGCGCAAGGGAAUUAGUAAGUCAAGAGAUAACUAGAUUGUUGCAUCUAUCCCAUUGCCUAAACUGAGGAGAGUUUUCUGGAGGUUUGGGAAUCGUUCCGUCAAUGAACCUUAGUUUAUUCCUAGCAGAUAACGAGACGAUUAUAUUACGUCUCCAUCCCCCAAACCAACCCCUGAAAAGUGGUUGCUUACCAAAGAAAUACCCGGAACAUCAGAAGACACCAAAAACAGAGGGCUUGAGGGGUCAAGUACAAAGGUAUCAGUCCUAGACUCAUAUGUAUCACCGACAUUAACCAUUCUGACUAAGAAAGGAUUUUGGGCUCGAAAGUUGUAAGAUUAAGAAACCCUAAAUGCUGGUAUGUUAAAAAAAAAUCAUGAAGGAAAGGAUUUUGGGCUCGAAAGUUGUAAAAUUAAGAAACCCUAAAUGCUCGUAUGUUAAAAAAAUCAGGAAUUGAUUGACUGACAAGAAAAUGAGACUCAGAAAACUCAAAAAUUGAGGAAUCACCGAAGGAUUUCCAGAGAAAAAACAGAGAAAAAGAGAAAAAGAGAAAAAACCUAGAUUCGUCGGAGAAGACAGAAGUUUUGACGGAAAGCGGUGAGAAUAACAUCGCCAUGGAGUCCGUGACAACCGGAAUCAUAAUCCCCGCUCUGAUACCAUGUCAAAAUUACUGAUCUCCAUGGAUGAACCAUAAUGUUUGCAGAUGAUGAAGAAGAAAGAGAGAAAAACUUAGAGAGUUUUCUUAUUUAUGUUCCGUGAAUAUUACCACUGUAUAGAAGCUUUCUGAACCUCUCAUAUACAUCAGUGUAUAUACAGAAAAAUAUCUACUCUAUAUUGGGCCAUUGGGCCAAGAAUAAAUAAUGGACUAAUUACAAGUUGGGCUUGGGCAGCUGCUUCUGUGUUUGGGCUGCUUGAGUGGCCCAGUAACUUCAGUAACU
Molecule: long non-coding RNA, 6066 nt
Filed under: Nicotiana benthamiana
Lineage: Eukaryota; Viridiplantae; Streptophyta; Magnoliopsida; Solanales; Solanaceae
Description: long non-coding RNA (NBEN_LNC007789)
Source: RNAcentral